This is a long non-coding RNA of Balaenoptera ricei (Rice's whale), 1453 nucleotides long. RefSeq lists it as uncharacterized. Lineage: Eukaryota; Metazoa; Chordata; Mammalia; Artiodactyla; Balaenopteridae. The record is from RefSeq and is a predicted model, not a curated record. The transcript has 3 exons.
AGGAGAGGGCGGCCCCAACACCAGCCCCGCCCCCCCCCCCCCCCAGCAACCCCACUGGUCCUAUCUCGCCCAAGGGAGUGGGCGUGCUGAGCUGAAGAGGGGCCCAGGGCAGAGGGGGGUGCUGAGUCUUCCCCCAGGCCCUCCCCGCUCUCAUCCCUGCCGGAGAGAUUAAUGGCCUCCCUGUUGAUCCGCGGCCCCAGGCAGCUGAGGUCUGAACUGCAGUUCAGCAGGGCCUCCGGGCGGCAGUGACCCGCUCCUUGCCAGGCGUUCAUUCUUCAUCGUCCUCCCGACGAACACUCGGCCAGGGGAGAUCAGAGGCCAAUGCCGUGGCCGCCCGGCCUUGUCCUGUCGUCGCAGUGCAACCGGAUCUAAUAUGGAAAGACAAUCCUCUCAAUGGAGCAGCUGCCGCCCCACUUCACCCCGCCCCUCCUCAAGGUUACAGGUGCUAGUCUUUGGGCGACACCUGCUGGCCAGGUCAGGUACUGCAUCCUCCGGUAGCCCAACCCCAGUGGGGAAAACUUGUCUCCUUGGACAUUCACAGCCACCGUAUGAGUUUGGAUUCCGCCCACCUCCCCCGCCGCCACCCCUGAGAGAGACCUGGCAAUGAGCUUCAGCUGCACAGAAUUCCGGCUUCAUGGAACCUCUCUGGGUUGGCUUCUCAGCCAGUUUCAGAGUUGGGAGCAGAGAGGGGACUGCGGGAGAGAGGCCAUGAUUAUUGAGGGGGCUUCUGCAGCCCCUGACCAACCCUCCUGAGACAGUGGCUUGAACAAGGGCCAUGGAACCCCAGAGACACCAUCUGUCGGGAAGGAGCCUCAGGGACUGGGGCCCUUUGUUCCGUGAGCUUAGGACCAUGAUACUAGAAUCCAAAAUGUUGAGAGGGUAAGUGGCAAAAUGUACCUAGAUAUCCUCGGAGUUAAGCAUAUACAAUUUUGGUUUAAGGAAUGCCCAGGUAAUUUAAUGACACGUACUACCUUUUUAUAUAGGCACCAUAGCCUAUUAAUUGCAAUGAUUCACCUCAUCUCAAGAAGACGGAAGUAUUUUAGAUAUACGUGCAUGCAUUUGAAGUAAAAACUGUUUAUUUUGUGUGUUUUUUGUUUGCUUCUGAGUAUCAGUGCAUGAAAAUACGUAUUUCUGUCUCUUUGCCUGCAUUAGAGAAUGUGCAUAGGUGACGAAACUGAGGCCCAGAAAGAUAAAGUGACUUCUCCAAGAUCACACAGCUGGCUAAGGUGGCAAAAAUGAGGCUAAAACCGAGGAUUUCUGAAUCGUAGUCCAGGACUGUUCAUAUAACAUUAAAAUCAAUUACAAAUUGGAAAAAAAGGUGGGGAAAUCCUUGUUUGUUUUUUUCUCCUCCAAUCAAUGAAUUAGUACUAAAAACGUCAAUCCCAAAUUGGCUAUAUAACCCCAAAUGUCAAGUUUUUACCAUUGACCUGGUUCAGUAUUGAUUCCUUUUAUG